RNAcentral lists this ribosomal RNA (398 nucleotides) under uncultured bacterium. RNAcentral's name for it is "partial 16S ribosomal RNA". It matches the Rfam family "Bacterial small subunit ribosomal RNA", at positions 523 to 918 of the family's 1533-position model. The record is from RNAcentral.
AUACGUAGGGCGCGAGCGUUGUCCGGAAUUAUUGGGCGUAAAGAGCUCGUAGGUGGUUCGUCGCGUCGUCUGUGAAAUUCCGGGGCUUAACUCCGGGCGUGCAGGCGAUACGGGCAUAACUUGAGUACUGUAGGGGAGACUGGAAUUCCUGGUGUAGCGGUGAAAUGCGCAGAUAUCAGGAGGAACACCGGUGGCGAAGGCGGUUCUCUGGGCAGUAACUGACGCUGAGGAGCGAAAGCAUGGGUAGCGAACAGGAUUAGAUACCCUGGUAGUCCAUGCCGUAAACGGUGGGCGCUAGGUGUAGGGGUCUUCCACGACUUCUGUGCCGUAGCUAACGCAUUAAGCGCCCCGCCUGGGGAGUACGGCCGCAAGGCUAAAACUCAAAGGAAUUGACGGGG